CUGGCCUCGAACUCAGAAAUCUGCCUCCCGAGUGCUGUGAUAAAAGGCGUGUGCCACCACGCCCGGCUGGAGGUUGACACUUUGUAGUGACAGGGUUCGGUAAUUCUCAGAACAGAAAGCAAGAGUGUAUCGGUUUCCUCAUUUGAUGGCUACGUAUGUUUCCUUUGUAAGUUCUCGUUUCUGGGUUGGACCUUCUAAGUAAUUACCAGGCCCCAAGAAACUACAUCUGCACACCCCUUCAAGACUGUUUACCCGGCCCUGUCACUGGAUCACUCGUAUUUCCUAGAAUGGGAAGGGCAAGGGGUUUGCAGAGGACUGCCUCCCUUCCUCUCACUCUCCGGUGAUCGCUCUGGGACAAAUAUCCCCACGUCACUCAGUGCGGAGCUCUGGCCCGGAGCAGCGCAGGGCCGGGGCACGUGACCCGCCCGCAGUCCUCGCUGUGGCCCGCGGCCCGGGAUGCAGUCGCGCUGACGUCCUCCCGGCUACCCACAAGCCUCUGUACCCCGGUGCGGGCAGGAAGAGGGCAACCGGGUCCAGUGGCUGCCCGGGAGAUCGGGGUGCCUUCUGUUGCUGGACGCGGACUGCCCGGCAACCCCCGGGCACACUGGCGGCUACCGGUCUCUCCCCGUGGCGGGGAAGGAGACUGCCCCGGCUCGGGCUGUCGUCCUAACGUGCUGGCCCGUGUCUGGGACGCCGGGGCCAGGGCGCUCUGCUGACAGCUGUCAGGCUGUCAGCGACUCCCGGGCACUCCCCGGUCUGCGUCACCGCGUACCGGUCAUCAGGUUCUUCCUAACAUCUAGGAAUGGUAGCGCAGGGCCACUCGAGUACCAUAUGGCGUCUAGUACGUGCUGCCGUUUAGUAAGUAUUAGCCUCGCAGGCCCGACCUGGCUGCCCCUCCGCACCAGCCCUUCCUGUCCCUCUGCCUCAUCGCCUGCGGUCUCGCGUCUGCUCCAGACUCUCGCGCGCCCCUCCUCUCCGCGGCUGACGAGCCUCUUCCUCCUUCGCUCUCAGCGCCGAGCUCCGGACUGCAUUUCCCGGCAGGCGCCGCGGCCAGUAGCCAAUAGGAGACCUAGGAUUUGGCGGCGGCGGCGCCGAACGGGGCGGGGGGGCUUUGUGCGCGGAGGCGGCGGCGGCGGCGGCGACGGCGACGGCGGCGGGAGCUGGCGGCGCGGAGAUCCGGACGGAGGCCGAGGCCGGGGCUGGGUUGCCGGGUGUCUGCUGGGAGAGGUGUGCAGCUUUCGAUCAGAACCCUGGGACCCUGCUGCCCUUCGGGGCCGCCAGCCUCCGGCUCCUCUCCGGCACCAGCAGCUACGCGGCGACCCCCGUCCGGCCGCCUCCCCUUCGCUCCGCGUCGCCCGCAGCCUUCCGUCUGCCCGCAAAACGCUCGAGCCCGGCCGGCCGGGCCGUGGCCGUCCUCAGUGCCGGCCGCCAUGGCAGGGGUGCUCGGCGCGGGGGAAAUCUAGUCCGAGGAUUUCAUGCGGCCUAGCUCGGUUCCGUCUCCUGCGCCCGCGGUCCCGGCAGCUGCCGGCAACCCAGCCCCACUUCGGGCCUCCGUGUCUCUCCUGUGAUCGCACUGACACGGCAGGGGGGUUAGAAUGGAACAAACUGAAGGCUCGAUGAGAGAAAGGGAAAGUUAAGGAUGCUGGAGCAGAACAAUGGAUUUCUCUUUCUCUUUCAUGCAAGGGAUCAUGGGAAACACAAUUCAGCAACCACCUCAACUCAUUGACUCGGCCAACAUCCGCCAGGAGGAUGCCUUUGAUAACCACAGUGACAUUGUUGAAGAUGGUGGCCCGACACCCUUUGAAGCUACUUUGCAACAAGGUUUUCAAUAUCCACCUACAACAGAAGACCUUCCUCCGCUCACAAAUGGCUACCCACCAUCAAUCAGCUUGUAUGAAACUCAAACCAAAUACCCGCCAUAUAAUCAGUAUCCCAAUGGGUCAGCCAACGGUUUUGGUGCAGUUAGAAACUUUAGCCCUACUGACUAUUACCAUUCAGAAAUUCCAAACACAAGACCACAUGAAAUUCUGGAAAAACCUUCUCCUCCUCAGCCACCUCCUCUUCCUCCUCCUCCUCCUCCUCCUCCUCCUUCGGUACCACAAACUGUGAUUCCAAAGAAGACAGGCUCACCCGAGAUUAAACUAAAAAUAACCAAAACUAUCCAGAAUGGCAGGGAAUUGUUUGAGUCUUCCCUUUGUGGAGACCUCUUAAAUGAAGUACAGGCAAGCGAGCACACAAAGUCUAGGCAUGAAAGCAGAAAGGAAAAGAGGAAAAAGAGCAACAGACACGAGUCAUCUCGAUCCGAAGAACGGAGGUCACACAAGAUUCCCAAGCUAGAGCCAGAGGGACAGAAUGUAAGUCCAAAUGUUCUGUGUAGCUUUGUCGACUCUGUGUUUACUGGAAGUUGGGAAUCUUUUUUAUGUUUUUCUUUUCAAAUAUG
Molecule: long non-coding RNA, 2440 nt
Organism: Mus spicilegus (steppe mouse)
Lineage: Eukaryota; Metazoa; Chordata; Mammalia; Rodentia; Muridae
Source: Ensembl